AUGUACAAUUCUUAACAAAUUAAGUAAUUUAAUUGAUCUUAAACAGAGGAUGUGAAGUUAUCCUAGGUUAAAUUGGUCUUGUUUGGGUGGAAUGUGACCGAGGCUGCUAAAAUCAUAGCUAUGAAUUCGUAGGUUACGGCUAAAAUACUCUUUUACAAUUACAAGCAAAAUCACUCGUUUGUAAGCUCAAAGUACAUAUCUAUGUAAUUGUAAAUGCUAAGUUUGUAUCUUUCAUAAACUAUAUAUGUUAAAUGUUUUCCAGAUUUUGGAUUCCUUUUUGAGCAAGUUAAUUGAAGAUGCCGUGUCCAAGCAAGCGGUCCAGGGCGGCCAAGAAGAGAAAGGCUGACUUGAGGUCCACUGAGGUGCCGAGCAAGAGGUCCCCGGUGGCGCAGGUUGACUUGGUCUCCUGUGACGAGGUUGGGCGUCCUCGUAAAAAAGCCCACACACAGUCUUCGGACGCUAUACAGUCUUCGGACUGCCAGUUACAAUGCCAGUUACAAUGCCAGUUACAAUGCCAGUUACAGUCUUCGGACGCAAUACAAGCAAACUCUACCAACUCUCAAACAAACUCUACCAACUCUCUGAAUAUGUGCCAUGACUCUGUUGUAAACUCAUUGUCAAGUAAUGUGAAAGAAAAUAAUGCUACUGAUUGUUGUUCUUUGAAUGAAUCUGUUGACUUCCCAGAGAGAUCUGUGCUGAUGGGGUCCUUUCAUCAAGGCGAUUCACGGUUUGGAAAUGUGCGCAACAAGCAGUGUGGUGCCAUCAGCUUGACCGCUGUUUUGAAGUCCAAGAUGAAGAACGUGUGGAGCUGGGAAACUGGAGAUCUUGAUGAUGUUUUGAUUAAGGGAGCUGUUCUAUACAGGUCAAUGAGCGUACAGGGUAAAAUAAGAGACCAUGGAAGGGGUUACAUUGCUGUGUCUGAAUUACCUAGGCAAUAUGAAGUGUGGAAUUGUGAUUUUGCAAUAAACUUUGCUGAAUCUUA
Alosa sapidissima (American shad) is the source of this 982-nucleotide long non-coding RNA. RefSeq lists it as uncharacterized. The record is from RefSeq and is a predicted model, not a curated record. The transcript has 3 exons. NCBI's taxonomy places the organism in Eukaryota, Metazoa, Chordata, Actinopteri, Clupeiformes, Clupeidae.